This 688-nucleotide ribosomal RNA is filed under the name uncultured Eubacteriales bacterium. RNAcentral's name for it is "bacterial SSU rRNA". It matches the Rfam family "Bacterial small subunit ribosomal RNA", at positions 28 to 706 of the family's 1533-position model. Lineage: Bacteria; Bacillati; Bacillota; Clostridia; Eubacteriales. The record is from RNAcentral.
GACGAACGCUGGCGGCGUGCUUAACACAUGCAAGUCGAGCGGAAUAAUAUAUCAGCUUGCUGAUAUAUUAUUUAGCGGCGGACGGGUGAGUAACACGUGGGUAACCUGCCCUAUACAGGGGGAUAGCCAACCGAAAGGUUGAUUAAUACCGCAUAAAUCAGACUUAUCGCAUGAUAAGUCUGGCAAAGGAGUUCGAACUCGUAAGAGUUCGUAUCCGGUAUAGGAGGGACCCGCGGCCCAUUAGAUAGUUGGUGAGGUAACGGCCCACCAAGUCGACGAUGGGUAGCCGAUCUGAGAGGAUGACCGGCCACAUUGGAACUGAGACACGGUCCAGACUCCUACGGGAGGCAGCAGUGGGGAAUAUUGCGCAAUGGGGGAAACCCUGACGCAGCAACGCCGCGUGAGUGAUGAAGGCCUUCGGGUCGUAAAGCUCUGUCUUUGGGGACGAUAAUGACGGUACCCAAGGAGGAAGCCACGGCUAACUACGUGCCAGCAGCCGCGGUAAUACGUAGGUGGCAAGCGUUGUCCGGAAUUACUGGGCGUAAAGGGUGCGUAGGCGGAUAUUUAAGUCAGAUGUGAAAUUCCGGAGCUUAACUUCGGAACUGCAUUUGAAACUGGACAUCUAGAGUACAGGAGAGGAAAGCGGAAUUCCUAGUGUAGCGGUGAAAUGCGUAGAUAUUAGGAAGAA